This 342-nucleotide long non-coding RNA is filed under the name Brassica rapa (field mustard). Its description in RNAcentral is "long non-coding RNA (BRAP_LNC004101)". The record is from RNAcentral. Lineage: Eukaryota; Viridiplantae; Streptophyta; Magnoliopsida; Brassicales; Brassicaceae.
GAACCACAUGUUUCAAGUAAUUUGCUUUCUCUGGAGAUCGAUCCAAGAUUCCAAGUUGAUGUGUAGUCCCUGAAAGCAGAGAAAAAAUAUAUUCAUCAGCUUAUAAUCUUAACCAAGCUUGAAUGUUUGGUCAGGGUAAACUGUAAAGAUGAAACCAAAUAAAAAGAGGAUAAAGAGAGCAACCAUGGGAGCAUUAUUCCGGUGCAAGAUUGUAAUAUGAUCAAUUGUUAUUGUCCUCAGUCAAAGAUUAAAAGGCCAGAGACAGCCUUAGGCUAAAAAUGAACCAGGAACGAACACAUCCAUCAUCCAUGCAUAGAACAGACAAGAGAUCCUGUCAUCAAA